UUUCGUUGUUGCUCAAUUUGGUUUGGAACUGGUUCAUUAACCUGUUCUUGAACUUCAUUUUGUUCUUGAAAUUCAACCGUUGAAGAUGGCAAUUUCCUUGGCAACUUCAAAACAUCCAAUAAAGGUUCUUCAACUUGGGUCUCAUGAUCUUCAUAUUGUGUUGAUUCAUUAGUUUCUUGAUCUUCAUCAAGUUAUAUCUCUCCAUUAUAAUUUCCUUCCAAAAGGAAUUCCCUUUCCAAAAAGGUUGCUCCUCUAG
RNAcentral lists this long non-coding RNA (256 nucleotides) under Nicotiana benthamiana. RNAcentral describes it as "long non-coding RNA (NBEN_LNC021102)". The record is from RNAcentral. Lineage: Eukaryota; Viridiplantae; Streptophyta; Magnoliopsida; Solanales; Solanaceae.